GGCUAAUGAUAGGGCAUCAAAGUAGGAACCACGAAUACAAUCAUAACGCUUUUGAAGUCUUCCUUUUCUAUGUGCAUGUGUAUAUGAUAAUCUUUUAAAAUUAAUCCAUAUAUUGGAAGUAAUCUUUUUGUGAUAUUUUUUGUAUUCAGACAAAGUUGCAAAAGGAUUUGAUAGAUUAUAAAACAUAAAAAGAUACCAACCGAGUCAACAGGUUCAAAACCAAUUCAGAUUCCAUGAAUAUUAAGGCUGAUGCAAAGAUAAGAUACUUAACUAUGUUCCAUUUCCACCCCAUUCCUCCUCUCGCUUUUCCCUGCUUCUCUCACCUAGUAAGUUGGAACUAAGUUUUUUCUGGCAUAAGAAAGAAAAUGUUACGUUUAACUAUUGAAGUGUAAACCUCCAGCAGGGCCAAUAACAGUUACAUCUAAGUGGGUGACUUCAGCUAUUAGACCACUCCGUCAAUUGCAACCAAAUGAAUGAAAUCUACGCUACUUGUCCACGAGUUGCUCAUAUCAGUCUGUCUUUUUAUCUGGUUCAUCAAGUGCAACCAGUCUUUCAACUAGAGGAGGAUGUGAAUAGUGAUAUGCUGAGUACCAAGGAUCUGUAUUCAUGGCUGACAAAUUUUCUUCCUGUAGUUUCACAAGACCAGCACGAAGUGCAGAGGCAUAACCUAGCUUCUUAGCAAAAGCAUCAGCAAGAUUUAGACCAAAGCUUACAAGGUGUUGAAGAGGUAUUACAGUAUGCUGCAAACAACAAGAUCAACAUCAGAUAAACCUUUUAUUCAACCAGGAUUAUAUAGCCAAUAACGUUAACUGUAUGAAAUCUUACAAACAUCACUCCCGAACCCCAUACAUUUCAUUUCUUCAUACAGCUAUUAUGAUAAAGAAGUACCUGAAAUAUGAUCAGUCCAAUAAGAACUGGUUGUGUAUCAAAUCCAAAACUUCGAAACAGAUCACUUGAGUUUCUCACAAGAGUAUAUCCUCCAAAUUGCAAAAAUGUGAGAAUCUGCGUUGAAGCACAACAAUAUAGAAAAAUAAAAACAAUAAACAUCAUAUAUCAUUAAAUCCUUUACAGUUCAUUUCCGCAUAAGCUUUUUAUCAAACAUCAGAGUAAGAAGAUUACAAUGAUAAAGGACAUGCAGGAGUGGGCAAAGACUCAUAAGAAACAAGAAACAGUGGCUUAAGCAAAUUGAGAUUCAACAAUCUAUUUUACUGCUGCUUUCUAACUGGAGAAAAAAUGGACAUAUGUAAUUAUUAUCAAGAUACGAAUUAAUACCCAAGAUUCAACCACCAGGAAAAAAUAUCAAAAAUUAAAAUGCUUGGAUAACACAUUUUUUAGUGCAACUGAAAUCAAAACCCUUGUGUCGAUAUUCUCUGAAAAUGAUGCCUUAAUUAAACCCUAUCAGGGAGAAAACAACAAUGACCAAUCCAAGCCCCUGCUGCUCAUAAAAUGCCAUCCCAUUAUUACUAAAGCAUUUAUCAGUUCCUCUGCUGUACCUCACUCUAAUUUACAUCAAGUCUUCCCACCUAUUCUUGAUUUCUUAUUAUAAUAUAAUCUCAGGAUUCUAAAUAAUGUAGUCACAAACAUGGCACCAGGCCGGCAGAAUGACAUGCCUCAAAGUUUUCCUUGGGCAAGGCAAUUAAAAGAAAUACUCUGUCAUUGUGCUCAGGAAAAAGAUCUUGAGUUUUGAACCUCAAAUCCAAAUUAAUUGAAGAAACAAAGAUGAGAAAAACAAUGCCAAGGUUUUCUUUGAGCCUCUUAUCAGCUGUAGCUCUCAGAGACUCGGACAUUGCUUCAUGUGCAUUUCCAAUGAUAUAUAUUAGCACAAAAUUAUCAAUAUAAUGGGCCAAUGAGAAAACAUGCAAAUGAAUUAAAGACAAGAAUUAUAUAAAAAAAUUGCAAGGAAACAAUAAUAACAUACCUGCACAGCAAUAAAUGAGUACAUAGUAUGAUUAAGUUUCCAAUGCCCCACUUCAUGAGCAAUUACAGCUACGAUUUCCUCAUCAUCUUUGCACUGCUGAAUCAAUGUAUCAUAAAGGACAAUUCGCUUGUUCUUAAAAAAAACCAUACAUAUAUGCAUUGCUAUGGCUUGACCUUGUAGAUCCAUCUACAACAAACAAUUUCUUUAAAGGAAACUUAAGGGAGGAAGCAAGUGCCUCGAUUUUCCCCCUGAGCAGACCUUCAGGAAGAGGGGUGAACUUAUUAAAGAGUGGGACAAUCAAAACUGGAUAGAGCGUCAUCAUCACAAGAGAGAACAAACAUAAAUGCCCAUAGAUAGAUGGCUAAGUAAGGACCUCCUUUCUGUACUAUUAAAACAAUUGCUGAAACAAUAGGUGGGCCAAGUACAAUAGCCACGCAAAUUCCCUUGAACAGGUCCCUCGAGAAUAACCAUAUUGUUUGUUUAUUGAAACCAUGACGGGCCUCGAUCACAAAGGUUGAAUAGAGAGAAAAUGGCAAAUCAGUGAUCUGCAUGAACACAGUCAAACAAAUCAAAUCCAAUUAAGGAACAUCUAAUGAAUUGAAUAUAUUUGUGAAAUGGCAUAAUAGGAAAGUAUUCUAAUAUUUUCAAUUAAAACAAUAAAAAUAUAGACAUAAGUUGAUAUUAAAUAAAUAAAGCAAGCCAACUAUCACAUUCAAAAUGUUCAGCCUCAUGUUCAAGAUGAAUAACAACAUCAUCCAAGUGUCUACAUUACUGAACUAUGAGUUUGCAAGCCAAAAAUGGCAAUGUGCACAUGUUUAACCCAAAUAACUCAAUCAGAAAAUUAAUUUGAAGGCUCCAAAAUAACCUAAUCCCAACUUUUUUUCCUCUUUGAUAAUAAUAACAAAAAUAACCUGCAAAUACUGUGCAGGAUAGCAAAAAAUAAUACAAUUCCAACUGCUUAAAUGCGGGAGGAAAACAAAAAAAAAAGAAGGGGAAGGAGAAGAAAGAAAGAUAGAUGAAAACCUUGUCUGUGUUAAUGUUGUAUAAAACACAGGCAGUAUUAAUAUAGCAGUUUUGAUUGUUUCAGCAGUAUGUAGUCAUCAGCUUAGAACACAAAUUAUAUCUGCAAGUGCAUUACUAAAGUGAAAUUUUGUUAAUAAACCAAAAACACCCACAUCUCGCUUUGUGUGUAUCCAUGUAUUCAACCACAUUUAAUCAGAAACCAUAUGCAUACCUAUGACCACAUCAUCAGACCAGCCAAAAAAUCUAGGGUGUACAGUAUUUCAUUCUCUGCAUUAAGCCCAGACAAAAGCAGAAAGUUCCCUGAUUUCUUCCAAAGCCAAGGCAAUAUCCCAAAAUAUAAAAUGGCAGAGUCCAGCAAUAUGGUCACAAAUUCGUGAACAAAAUUAAAGUGGCUUUUAUCAAGACUAUAAGCUCUAGAUUUUUCAAACUUCUCUUGGCUGAUUACUCCUUCUAAUGUUUUUGGAAGAGUUGGCAGUUUCAGUGCAGAAUGUUGCCGCAAAUCCAAAUACGUUUCAAAAACAUACAUCAGCACCAUAAAACCAAGUACAGCUUCCAUGUAAGGAAACGCCAUGGCAGAAUCGAAGGUUGCAGACUCGAGUGAAAUGAUAAAA
Molecule: unclassified non-coding RNA, 3552 nt
Filed under: Hevea brasiliensis (rubber tree)
Lineage: Eukaryota; Viridiplantae; Streptophyta; Magnoliopsida; Malpighiales; Euphorbiaceae
Source: RNAcentral